RNAcentral lists this RNase P RNA (350 nucleotides) under Burkholderiales bacterium. RNAcentral describes it as "RNase P RNA component class A". It matches the Rfam family "Bacterial RNase P class A". From Rfam's summary of the family: Ribonuclease P (RNase P) is a ubiquitous endoribonuclease, found in archaea, bacteria and eukarya as well as chloroplasts and mitochondria. Its best characterised activity is the generation of mature 5'-ends of tRNAs by cleaving the 5'-leader elements of precursor-tRNAs. The record is from RNAcentral. Lineage: Bacteria; Pseudomonadati; Pseudomonadota; Betaproteobacteria; Burkholderiales.
GAAGCAGGCCAGACAAUCGCUGGUCGCCAUGUUUUGCAUGGCGGCGGGAGGAAGGUCCGGACUCCAUAGAGCAGGGUGACGGCUAACGGCCGUACGUUGAAAGCCAAAGCGCAAGCCGAGGUAUAAGGCGAGGAAUAGGGCCACAGAGACGAGCGUAUUAAGUUACGGUGAAACGCGGUAACCUCCACCCGGAGCAAUUUCAAAUAGGCACGCGUUGAGGCGGCUCGCGGAGCGUGCGGGUAGAAAGCUUGAGCGGCGGAGCAAUCCGUCGCCUAGAGGAAUGAUUGUCAUAGCAGAGGGCAGCAAUGCCUGAGCCGUAACAGAAUCCGGCCUACCGGCCUGCUUCAUUU